AGUAGUCACGUAGUUGACUCUGCUNAGAACAACGCUGGCGGCAUGCCUAACACAUGCAAGUCGAACGAGACCUUCGGGUCUAGUGGCGCACGGGUGCGUAACACGUGGGAAUUUGCCUCGGGGUAUGGAAUAACUCAGGGAAACUUGAGCUAAUACCAUAUAAUGUCUUCGGACCAAAGAUUUAUCGCCCUGAGAUAAGCCCGCGUAGGAUUAGCUAGUUGGUGGGGUAAAGGCUCACCAAGGCGACGAUCCUUAGCUGGUCUGAGAGGAUGAUCAGCCACACUGGGACUGAGACACGGCCCAGACUCCUACGGGAGGCAGCAGUGGGGAAUAUUGGACAAUGGGCGAAAGCCUGAUCCAGCAAUGCCGCGUGAGUGAUGAAGACCUUAGGGUUGUAAAGCUCUUUUACCCGAGAUGAUAAUGACAGUAUCGGGAGAAUAAGCUCCGGCUAACUCCGUG
RNAcentral lists this ribosomal RNA (459 nucleotides) under uncultured bacterium. RNAcentral's name for it is "bacterial SSU rRNA". It matches the Rfam family "Bacterial small subunit ribosomal RNA", at positions 1 to 507 of the family's 1533-position model. The record is from RNAcentral.